Molecule: non-coding RNA, 73 nt
Organism: Rhamnusium bicolor
Lineage: Eukaryota; Metazoa; Arthropoda; Insecta; Coleoptera; Cerambycidae
Source: the annotation of a GenBank genome assembly
GCUUCGUGGUCGAAUGGUAAGGACACUUGCUACUCACCCAGGAGGCCGGGGUUCGAUCCCCGGUCGAGGAGCU